CGGGUGGCGAGCGGCGCACGGGUGAGUAACGCGUAUGUAACCUGCCCAUGAGUGGGGGAUAGUCCCGGUAGAAAACCGGAUUAAUACCCCAUGAUACCAUUGUCUGACAUCAUUUAAUGGUUAAAGAUUGAUUGCUCAUGGAUGGACAUGCGUUGGAUUAGCUGGUCGGCGGGGCAACGGCCCACCGAGGCGACGAUCCAUAGGGGUUCUGAGAGGAAGGUCCCCCACAUUGGUACUGAGACACGGACCAAACUCCUACGGGAGGCAGCAGUGAGGAAUAUUGGUCAAUGGGCGGAAGCCUGAACCAGCCAAGUCGCGUGGAGGGAAAAGACGGCAUUAUGUGUUGUAAACUCCUUUAGCUGUGGAGAAAUAAGGCGGUCGUGACCGCCGAUGCUAGUACACAGAGAAUAAGGAUCGGUCUAACUCCGUGCCAGCCGCCGC
Molecule: ribosomal RNA, 441 nt
Filed under: uncultured bacterium
Lineage: Bacteria
Description: bacterial SSU rRNA
Rfam family: Bacterial small subunit ribosomal RNA
Source: RNAcentral